AGUUUGAUCAUGGCUCAGGACAAACGCUGGCGGGGUGCAUGAGACAUGCAAGUCGAACGGGGUUCAUCGGGCUUGCUCGAUGAACCUAGUGGCGGACGGCUGAGUAACGCGUAGGUGACCUACCCGGAAGUGGGGAAUAACUGCCCGAAAGGGUGGCUAAUACCGCAUGUGGUCGACGAUUCGCUUCGUCGUCCAAAGCCGCAAGGCGCUUCCGGCGGGGCCUGCGUCCGAUUAGCUAGUUGGUGGGGUAACGGCUCACCAAGGCGACGAUCGGUAGCUGGUCUGAGAGGAUGAUCAGCCAGACUGGGACUGAGACACGGCCCAGACUCCUACGGGAGGCAGCAGUCGGGAAUUUUGCCCAAUGGACGAAAGUCUGAGGCAGCAACUCCGCGUGAGGGACGAAGGCCUUCGGGUCGUAAACCUCUUUUCUCAGGGAAGAUACAAGACGGUACCUGAGGAAUAAGCCACGGCUAACUACGUGCCAGCAGCCGCGGUAAUACGUAGGUGGCGAGCGUUGUCCGGAUUUACUGGGCGUAAAGCGCGCGCAGGCGGCUGGUCAAGUCCGAUGUGAAAGCUCCCGGCUCAACUGGGAAAAUGCAUCGGAAACUGACUGGCUUGAAGGUGGGAGAGGGUAGUGGAAUUCCCGGUGUAGUGGUGAAAUGCGUAGAUAUCGG
This 674-nucleotide ribosomal RNA is filed under the name uncultured bacterium. Its description in RNAcentral is "bacterial SSU rRNA". It matches the Rfam family "Bacterial small subunit ribosomal RNA", at positions 10 to 700 of the family's 1533-position model. The record is from RNAcentral.